GCACUGUUGGCUUAGUGGUAAAAUGCGAAGUGUAUGUUACCAUUGGUCCUGGGUUCAAUUCCCAGCCAGUACA
Sphaerobolus stellatus SS14 is the source of this 73-nucleotide non-coding RNA. The record is from the annotation of a GenBank genome assembly. NCBI's taxonomy places the organism in Eukaryota, Fungi, Basidiomycota, Agaricomycetes, Geastrales, Sphaerobolaceae.